GGAGCGGGAGCCCGGAGAUGGGCACUGAGACAAGGGCCCAGGCCCUACGGGGCGCAGCAGUCGCGAAAACUUUGCAAUACACGAAAGUGUGACAGGGCUAUCCCGAGUGCCAUCCGCUGAGGAAGGCUUUUACCCAGUAUAGCAAGCUGGGAGAAUAAGGAGAGGGCA
RNAcentral lists this ribosomal RNA (168 nucleotides) under Candidatus Bathyarchaeota archaeon. RNAcentral's name for it is "partial 16S ribosomal RNA". It matches the Rfam family "Archaeal small subunit ribosomal RNA", at positions 279 to 448 of the family's 1478-position model. Lineage: Archaea; Thermoproteati; Candidatus Bathyarchaeota. The record is from RNAcentral.